Molecule: ribosomal RNA, 253 nt
Filed under: uncultured bacterium
Lineage: Bacteria
Description: partial 16S ribosomal RNA
Rfam family: Bacterial small subunit ribosomal RNA
Source: RNAcentral
UACGAAGGGGGCUAGCGUUGCUCGGAAUCACUGGGCGUAAAGGGCGCGUAGGCGGCCAUUCAAGUCAGUGGUGAAAGCCUGUGGCUCAACCACAGAAUUGCCUUUGAUACUGUUUGGCUAGAGACCGGAAGAGGUAAGUGGAACUGCGAGUGUAGAGGUGAAAUUCGUAGAUAUUCGCAAGAACACCAGUGGCGAAGGCGGCUUACUGGUCCGGUUCUGACGCUGAGGCGCGAAAGCGUGGGGAGCAAACAGG